Rattus rattus (black rat) is the source of this 107-nucleotide small nuclear RNA. Lineage: Eukaryota; Metazoa; Chordata; Mammalia; Rodentia; Muridae. The record is from RefSeq and is a predicted model, not a curated record.
AUACUCACUUUAGCCUUUAUAUGCAAAAUUUGAACAAUGCAGAGAAGAUUAACAUGGCCUCUACACAAGAGAUGACCACGCAAAUUCUCAAAGCAUUCCAUAUUUUU